UUUCCGUAGGUGAACCUGCGGAAGGAUCAUUACCACACCAAAAAACUUUCCACGUGAACCGUUGUAAUUUUGUUUUGUGCCUUCUUUCGGGAGGGCUAAACGAAGGUUGUCCGCAAGUGUAGUUAAUUCUGUACGCGUGGUCUUCCGAUGUCUUUUUAAACCCAUUACUUAAUACUGAUCUAUACUCCGAGAACGAAAGUUUUUGGUUUUAAUCCAUAACAACUUUCAGCAGUGGAUGUCUAGGCUCGC
Molecule: unclassified non-coding RNA, 249 nt
Filed under: root metagenome
Description: partial contains small subunit ribosomal RNA, internal transcribed spacer 1, and 5.8S ribosomal RNA
Source: RNAcentral